Molecule: ribosomal RNA, 1355 nt
Filed under: uncultured bacterium
Lineage: Bacteria
Description: bacterial SSU rRNA
Rfam family: Bacterial small subunit ribosomal RNA
Source: RNAcentral
AUUGAACGCUGGCGGCAGGCUUAACACAUGCAAGUCGAACGAUGAUUAUCUAGCUUGCUAGAUAUGAUUAGUGGCGGACGGGUGAGUAACAUUUAGGAAUCUGCCUAGUAGUGGGGGAUAGCUCGGGGAAACUCGAAUUAAUACCGCAUACGACCUACGGGUGAAAGGGGGCGCAAGCUCUUGCUAUUAGAUGAGCCUAAAUCAGAUUAGCUAGUUGGUGGGGUAAAGGCCCACCAAGGCGACGAUCUGUAACUGGUCUGAGAGGAUGAUCAGUCACACCGGAACUGAGACACGGUCCGGACUCCUACGGGAGGCAGCAGUGGGGAAUAUUGGACAAUGGGGGCAACCCUGAUCCAGCCAUGCCGCGUGUGUGAAGAAGGCCUUUUGGUUGUAAAGCACUUUAAGCAGGGAGGAGAGGCUAAUGGUUAAUACCCAUUAGAUUAGACGUUACCUGCAGAAUAAGCACCGGCUAACUCUGUGCCAGCAGCCGCGGUAAUACAGAGGGUGCGAGCGUUAACCGGAAUUACUGGGCGUAAAGCGAGUGUAGGUGGCUCAUUAAGUCACAUGUGAAAUCCCCGGGCUUAACCUGGGAACUGCAUGUGAUACUGGUGGUGCUAGAAUAUGUGAGAGGGAAGUAGAAUUCCAGGUGUAGCGGUGAAAUGCGUAGAGAUCUGGAGGAAUACCGAUGGCGAAGGCAGCUUCCUGGCAUAAUAUUGACACUGAGAUUCGAAAGCGUGGGUAGCAAACAGGAUUAGAUACCCUGGUAGUCCACGCCGUAAACGAUGUCUACUAGCCGUUGGGGUCCUUGAGACUUUAGUGGCGCAGUUAACGCGAUAAGUAGACCGCCUGGGGAGUACGGCCGCAAGGUUAAAACUCAAAUGAAUUGACGGGGGCCCGCACAAGCGGUGGAGCAUGUGGUUUAAUUCGAUGCAACGCGAAGAACCUUACCUGGUCUUGACAUAGUGAGAAUCCUGCAGAGAUGCGGGAGUGCCUUCGGGAAUUCACAUACAGGUGCUGCAUGGCUGUCGUCAGCUCGUGUCGUGAGAUGUUGGGUUAAGUCCCGCAACGAGCGCAACCCUUUUCCUUAUUUGCCAGCGGGUUAAGCCGGGAACUUUAAGGAUACUGCCAGUGACAAACUGGAGGAAGGCGGGGACGACGUCAAGUCAUCAUGGCCCUUACGACCAGGGCUACACACGUGCUACAAUGGUAGGUACAGAGGGUUGCUACACAGCGAUGUGAUGCUAAUCUCAAAAAGCCUAUCGUAGUCCGGAUUGGAGUCUGCAACUCGACUCCAUGAAGUCGGAAUCGCUAGUAAUCGCAGAUCAGAAUGCUGCGGUGAAUACGUUCCCGGGCCU